This 253-nucleotide ribosomal RNA is filed under the name uncultured bacterium. Its description in RNAcentral is "partial 16S ribosomal RNA". It matches the Rfam family "Bacterial small subunit ribosomal RNA", at positions 524 to 776 of the family's 1533-position model. The record is from RNAcentral.
GACGAACUGCCCAAACGUUGUUCGGAAUCACUGGGCUUAAAGGGCGCGUAGGCGGCGAAUCAAGUCAGGGGUGAAAUCCGGCAGCUCAACUGUCGAAGUGCCUUUGAUACUGAUUUGCUCGAGGGAGGUAGGGGUCUGUGGAACUUCCGGUGGAGCGGUGAAAUGCGUUGAUAUCGGAAGGAACGCCGGUGGCGAAAGCGACGGACUGGACCUUUUCUGACGCUGAGGCGCGAAAGCUAGGGGAGCAAACGGG